UCCGCAAAUCGUUCUAUCGCUGUUCUAUAAUCAAAAAUAGAAAAGAGGAAAGUCCGGACAACACAGAGUAGCACACCACCUAACUGGUGGGGACAGGCAACUGUUACAGCAAGUACCACAGAAAAUAACCGCCCGCUUCUGUUAAUUAGAAGUGUGGUAAGGGUGAAAACGUGCGAUAAGUGCGCACGUAUUGUUUAGGCAACUAAAUAAUAGGGUAAACCUUGUGCGUUGAAAGACCAAAUACAUCGGCACGUAUUGCUACAUGGCAAUUACAAAGGGCUGCUCGUCCAAUGUCGAGGGGUAGGUCGUUGGAACAAUGGAGUGAUCCAUUGUCUAGAUAAAUGAUAGAAGCUAAUCGCCUCAAAACGCUUAGUACAGAAUCCGGCUUAUAGAUUUGCGGAAUGG
Molecule: RNase P RNA, 405 nt
Filed under: Chitinophagales bacterium
Lineage: Bacteria; Pseudomonadati; Bacteroidota; Chitinophagia; Chitinophagales
Description: RNase P RNA component class A
Rfam family: Bacterial RNase P class A
About the family: Ribonuclease P (RNase P) is a ubiquitous endoribonuclease, found in archaea, bacteria and eukarya as well as chloroplasts and mitochondria. Its best characterised activity is the generation of mature 5'-ends of tRNAs by cleaving the 5'-leader elements of precursor-tRNAs.
Source: RNAcentral